Molecule: transfer RNA, 71 nt
Filed under: Patescibacteria group bacterium
Lineage: Bacteria
Description: tRNA-Gly
Rfam family: tRNA
About the family: Transfer RNA (tRNA) molecules are approximately 80 nucleotides in length. Their secondary structure includes four short double-helical elements and three loops (D, anti-codon, and T loops). Further hydrogen bonds mediate the characteristic L-shaped molecular structure. tRNAs have two regions of fundamental functional importance: the anti-codon, which is responsible for specific mRNA codon recognition, and the 3' end, to which the tRNAs corresponding amino acid is attached (by aminoacyl-tRNA synthetases). tRNAs cope with the degeneracy of the genetic code in two manners: having more than one tRNA (with a specific anti-codon) for a particular amino acid; and 'wobble' base-pairing, i.e. permitting non-standard base-pairing at the 3rd anti-codon position.
Source: RNAcentral
GCGGGUAUAAUUUAGUGGCAGAAUGCGACCUUCCCAAGGUUGAUAUGCGAGUUCGAUUCUCGCUACCCGCA